AGGAUUUGAGAGCUAGCUUGAAGUUCUUUUCAAAGGCAUAAGGAUUGUUUUUGGAAGGUUUUUGAAGACUUAGCAAUUAUUAUUCAAAGUUAGGAGUUUGUAUUGGUGAUUUGGAUUUUAUAUAAUGUAAUUAGGGCUAGUAAUUUUGGCUAGUUCGUGUAAUUGGUGUAACAUCUAUAGUUGAAAAUUUGAUAUUAUUUGGAUUAUUGGAUGUGCUAAGUGUAUAAAAAAUUUUGUGAUAAUCUAAUGGCGUGGUUUAGAGAUAUUUGAAUUUUAGCACAAGAGGGUUUUGGAAGUUGGCAGCUUGAGGUUGGGUAGGAUUUCUAUGAUAUCUAAAGAUCUAUUAGUUGAAUCAAAGUGAAAUUUAGCAUGGUAUUGAAGGACUUGAAGAUCAAGCUGCACACCAAUUUUGAGACAAAGUUAAUGGUUGAAAAGGAA
Molecule: long non-coding RNA, 438 nt
Filed under: Physcomitrium patens
Lineage: Eukaryota; Viridiplantae; Streptophyta; Bryopsida; Funariales; Funariaceae
Description: long non-coding RNA (PPAT_LNC008549)
Source: RNAcentral